UGCUCGGGAAGAUAUUCUCACAAUUAGACUUUUGGGCUAGAUUUCUCGAAAACCGUGAAUCCCACGAGAAAACCGAGGCUACCAGCACGCUCCACUCGACGAGGGCUUCGCGGGAUAUUAAUUUCAAAAUUUUCCGACAACGUUUUUCGGUAUUCUCAUUUCGCGGAAAUUCGACAGUUGACCGGGUCUGCAAAUUUCGGGCCAGACAGACCCGUUACCGGAAAAGUCUCCGAAUUGGACCGAGGUUUUGGCUAGCCCCCCAUUGUCAGACGUCCCGAGCGCGUUCCCGAAGUCGGAAUCGGCAAAGGUGAGCCGGGACAGCCUUCUUCCUCCGCCCAGCCACCACAGUGAUUUGUCGUCAAGUCUGUGAG
Hevea brasiliensis (rubber tree) is the source of this 371-nucleotide long non-coding RNA. RefSeq lists it as uncharacterized. The record is from RefSeq and is a predicted model, not a curated record. NCBI's taxonomy places the organism in Eukaryota, Viridiplantae, Streptophyta, Magnoliopsida, Malpighiales, Euphorbiaceae. The transcript has 3 exons.